Molecule: ribosomal RNA, 460 nt
Filed under: uncultured bacterium
Lineage: Bacteria
Description: partial 16S ribosomal RNA
Rfam family: Bacterial small subunit ribosomal RNA
Source: RNAcentral
UCUACGGGAGGCAGCAGUGAGGAAUAUUGGUCAAUGGACGAGAGUCUGAACCAGCCAAGUAGCGUGAAGGAUGACUGCCCUAUGGGUUGUAAACUUCUUUUAUAAAGGAAUAAAACGAGGCACGUGUGCCCUUUUGCAUGGACUUUAUGAAUAAGGACUGGCCAACCCCGUGCCAUGAGCCGCGGUAAUACGGAGGAUCUGAGCGUUAUCCGGAUUUAUUGGGUUUAAAGGGAGCGUAGAUGGGUUGUUAAGUCAGUUGUGAAAGUUUGCGGCUCAACCGUAAAAUUGCAAUUGAUACUGGCAGUCUUGAGUGCAGUUGAGGUAGGCGGAAUGCGUGGUGUAGCGGUGAAAUGCUUAGAUAUCACGAAGAACCCCGAUUGCGAAGGCAGCUUACUAAACUGUGACUGACAUUGAUGCUCGAAAGUGUGGGUAUCAAACAGGAUUAGAUACCCCGGUAGUC